Molecule: long non-coding RNA, 767 nt
Filed under: Setaria italica (foxtail millet)
Lineage: Eukaryota; Viridiplantae; Streptophyta; Magnoliopsida; Poales; Poaceae
Description: long non-coding RNA (SITA_LNC005930)
Source: RNAcentral
GGCCCAUGAAAUUCCGAAUUUAGCCGGACAGACAUUCGGUCCAAGGGCCCAUGCAGGAUGGACGCGCUGGAAACAGACCGCAAUCUGGGCCUCAAUCCGGCCCAAAAACUGCCCUGCCCACAGCGCAUAAAGGGGGAACAGUAGGUUGCCCUAACCGCCGCCGCACCCUUCAGCCACGGCGAGUAGGCCACCGCCGCCGCCGCCACGCCGCUGACACCACCUGCCGCUCCAUCUCCUCCUCAUUGCUUCUCUUCUACCGCGUUGCCAUGGGAGAGCCAGCAGGCGAGUGAGUGCCGCAGCCGCAGCCGCAAGGAGCGCCGCCGCUGCCACUGCCAAGUAUACCGGCCGGGACCGACGCUCUCGGUCUGCCGCUUCAGCUGCGAUGCCGCCGUCUCCGCAGCCGUUGGGGUGCGGGCGGUUGGGCUUCGCCGAAUCGCUGGCGUUGAGGCCGGCUACUGCCGUCCUCGGUGUGGGCGGGCACCGUCAGAGGGGGGCCCGCCACCUGACGCUGCUCUGGAAAGAGCCGCGGCCGUGGCCUAUGGGCAGGUGUCCUGGCUGCUGCCACUUUCGAAGCACGGAAGGGCGUGGAUGUGCCGAUUUGUCGGUGAUUUUUCUACCCUUGGCAAUAGCGCGGGGUGCUUAUCCUUAGUCCGAUUAUCCUUAGUCCGAUUUCUUGAACAUAGAAUAUUUAGAUAUUAAUUAGAAGUAUUAAAUUUAAUUAAUCUAUGAUUAAUUUGAAUUAAAGUAUGAUAAAUUGUGCAAUUCGA